RNAcentral lists this unclassified non-coding RNA (1052 nucleotides) under Hevea brasiliensis (rubber tree). The record is from RNAcentral. Lineage: Eukaryota; Viridiplantae; Streptophyta; Magnoliopsida; Malpighiales; Euphorbiaceae.
GUGAAAGUUCGCAAAUCCUCCUCACAGCCACCCACUCUCUCACCCGCUCACCCACCGCUGGAAGCCUGCAAUUAUGAAGCCUAAAACCAAAUACCCAAGAACAGCGACGAUGAGAGAAGAGAGCUGCUUCCCUCCUCUCUCUUAAUUUCGCUUUAUUUUUGGUCUUUUUGGAUUUUUUUUUUCCCUUUUGGGCUUAUAAAUUCUGUACACAUGAAGUUUUUAUUGGAAUUCGUCUCGUGUUGCGGGGCCAGUGGCGGUGACAACUCCGAAAAGGAUACUCCGGAGCUGAACGGGCGGCGUUCGGAGGAGAAGCGGGCGCUGAUGGAGCGGCGGACACUGCAAACGCUUACGAGGAGAAGUAGGAGGAAGAGGGGCAGAGUAGGGUCAGCAUCUGCGUCGUCCGCGGCUGCGAUGGCUGAUUGGAAACCGACGCUUUGCUCGAUAUCUGAGGAUAACGUGGUGGUGGUGGUGGAAGAGGGAACGGAAAGAGUGGUAAAGAGGAAGGGCAGUGGAGGACGACGUGGGGGUGGUGGUGGUGGGUCCCGUGGACUAGCUAGUAUUCCUAACUACAGCGAAGAUUACCGGCGAAGUAAUCAGUUCUCGGUAAUUCCAACAUUCUCUGCGACUCCGUUCAUGAUUUAGCAGUGUUGAUUUGCCAUUCUAUCUGAUGUAAAUAUAAAAUUUAGGCAAAUUCAUAAAAGUUGGAUUAUGAAAGUUUAAUUAUGCGUUUUGUGGCUUUUGUUAAUAGAAAUCUGCCUUAUGAUCAUUAUUAUUCUUCCAUUCUCUGCUUGCAGUUGCAGGCUUAAUUUCUAUCUGUACUAUUUCUUCGCAUUGCGUUGUUUUCAGGUCAACAGCUCCUAAUUAUUCAUGUUAAAUAAAAAUUAUCAUAACUUGUAAAAUAAUUGUUACACAUUUGAUUUUUUCUUCUCCCUUUCCUUCAAAAUGAAGCACUGAGUGUAUGGAAGUGAAUUUUUUUUCUUAACUGAAGAAUUAUUCUUUCAUUUAUUUUGUCAGUUUGAGCAAUUAUAUUUGGAUGGUAACGUUGAAUGCAA